CUUGAGUAGCGAUAAAGAGUGUGAGAGACACUCUCGCCGAAAGUCCAAGGGUUCCUGCGCAAUGCUAAUCAGCGCAGGGUUAGCCGGCCCCUAAGUCGAGGCAGAAAUGCGUAGACGAUGGGAACCACGUUAAUAUUCGUGGGCCUGGCGGUAGUGACGGAUCAUGCAGGUCUGUAUUCCCUUAUUGGAUUGGGAGUGCAGUGAGCUGGUUCCAGGAAAUAGCUCCGCCAACAUAGACCGUACCCUAAACCGACACAGGUGGACUGGUAGAGCAUACCAAGGCGCUUGAGAGAACUAUACUGAAGGAACUCGGCAAAUUGCACGCGUAACUUCGGGAUAAGCGUGACCUCCCAUCGGGCAACCGGUGUGGGGUGGCACAAAAGAGGGGGUAGCGACUGUUUAUUAAAAACACAGGGCUCUGCGAAGUAGCAAUACGACGUAUAGGGUCUGACGCCUGCCCGGUGCCGGAAGGUUAAAUGGAGGAGUGCAAGCUCUGAAAUGAAGCCCCGGUAAACGGCGGCCGUAACAAUAACGGUCCUAAGGUAGCGAAAUUCCUUGUCGGGUAAGUUCCGACCUGCACGAAUGGCGUAACGACUUCCCCACUGUCUCCAGUAUAGACUCAGCGAAAUUGAAUUCCCCGUGAAGAUGCGGGGUUCCUGCGGUCAGACGGAAAGACCCCAUGCACCUUUACUAUAGCUUUACGCUGGCAUUUGUGUCGGCAUGUGCAGGAUAGGUGGUAGGCUUUGAAGCAGGGACGCUAGUUCUUGUGGAGCCGCAAGAUGAGAUACCACCCUUAUCGUCAUAGAUGUCUAACCGCGGCAUUACAGUGUCCGGGACAGCGUAUGGUGGGUAGUUUGACUGGGGCGGUCGCCUCCCAAAGAGUAACGGAGGCGCGCGAUGGUGGGCUCAGACCGGUCGGAAAUCGGUCGUUGAGUGCAAUGGCAUAAGCCUGCCUGACUGCGAGACUGACAAGUCGAGCAGAGACGAAAGUCGGUCAUAGUGAUCCGGUGGUCCCGCGUGGAAGGGCCAUCGCUCAACGAAUAAAAGGUACGCUGGGGAUAACAGGCUGAUACUGCCCAAGAGUCCAUAUCGACGGCAGUGUUUGGCACCUCGAUGUCGGCUCAUCACAUCCUGGGGCUGGAGCAGGUCCCAAGGGUAUGGCUGUUCGCCAUUUAAAGUGGUACGUGAGCUGGGUUUAAAACGUCGUGAGACAGUUUGGUCCCUAUCUGCCGUGGGUGUAGGAAUAUUGAGAAGAGCUGACCCUAGUACGAGAGGACCGGGUUGGACGAAUCUCUGGUGGACCUGUUGUGGCGCCAGCCGCAUUGCAGGGUAGCUAUAUUCGGACGGGAUAACUGCUGAAAGCAUCUAAGCAGGAAGCCUCCUUCAAAACUAGUAUUCCCUUGAGAGCCGUGGAAGACCACCACGUUGAUAGGCCGGAUGUGGAAGCGCAGUAAUGUGCGAAGCUGACCGGUACUAAUAGCUUA
RNAcentral lists this ribosomal RNA (1484 nucleotides) under metagenome. RNAcentral describes it as "bacterial LSU rRNA". It matches the Rfam family "Bacterial large subunit ribosomal RNA", at positions 1301 to 2911 of the family's 2925-position model. The record is from RNAcentral.